RNAcentral lists this ribosomal RNA (376 nucleotides) under uncultured bacterium. Its description in RNAcentral is "bacterial SSU rRNA". It matches the Rfam family "Bacterial small subunit ribosomal RNA", at positions 485 to 859 of the family's 1533-position model. The record is from RNAcentral.
AAUAAGCUCCGGCUAACUACGUGCCAGCAGCCGCGGUAAUACGUAGGGAGCGAGCGUUGUCCGAAUUCACUGGGCGUAAAGCGCGCGUAGGCGGGUUCUUAAGUUGGUGGUGAAAUCCCGAGGCUCAACCUCGGAACUGCCUCCAAAACUGGGAACCUUGAGGUAUGGAGGGGGAAGUGGAAUUCCAGGUGUAGCGGUGAAAUGCGUAGAUAUCUGGAGGAACACCCGUGGCGAAGGCGGCUUCCUGGCCAUAUCCUGACGCUGAGGUGCGAAAGCUAGGGUAGCGAACGGGAUUAGAUACCCCGGUAGUCCUAGCCGUAAACGAUGGAUACUAGGUGUUAGAGGUAUCGACCCCUCUAGUGCCGAAGCUAACGCA